This 406-nucleotide ribosomal RNA is filed under the name uncultured bacterium. RNAcentral's name for it is "partial 16S ribosomal RNA". It matches the Rfam family "Bacterial small subunit ribosomal RNA", at positions 30 to 526 of the family's 1533-position model. The record is from RNAcentral.
AUUGAACGCUAGCGGCAGGCCUAACACAUGCAAGUCGAACGAGUGGCGGACGGGUGAGUAAUGUAUGGGAACGUGCCCGAUGGCGGGGGAUAACUACUGGAAACGGUAGCUAAUACCGCAUACCAUCAGAUGUGCCCAGAUGGGAUUAGCUAGUUGGUGGGGUAACGGCUCACCAAGGCAACGAUCCCUAGCUGGUCUGAGAGGAUGACCAGCCACACUGGAACUGAGACACGGUCCAGACUCCUACGGGAGGCAGCAGUGGGGAAUAUUGCACAAUGGGCGCAAGCCUGAUGCAGCCAUGCCGCGUGUAUGAUGAAGGCCUUCGGGUUGUAAAGUACUUUCAGCGGGGAGGCGUUACCCGCAGAAGAAGCACCGGCUAACUCCGUGCCAGCCGCCGCGGUAAUAC